UCUAAUCAAUGAGCUUUAACAAGUUGUAAUUUCUAAUCUAACUGUCUGUUUAAUGUAAAAUUUUGCAUAAAAUUUUCAAUGUAAGUCUUAUAUAUGCAUAAGAAUUUUCAGCCCAAUCCAACUUAUAGAUUGUGAUAAAACCUCCAAAAAUUACUUUGAUAUCACUUGGCUACCAACUUGAAAAGAAAAGCAAAAAUCCUAGCAGUGAUUUCCCUUUCUCCAACUAUUAACUUUGGUUCAAAAUUGGUGUGCAUCUUGAUCUUCAAGUCCUUCAACACGAUGACAAAUUUCACCUUGAUCCAACUAGUAGAUCUCUAGAUAUUAUAGAAAUCCUAUCCAACCCCAAAUUGCCAACUUCCAAAAUCCUCUUGUACUGAAAACCAAAUAUCUCUAAACUACACUGUUAGAUUAUUACAAAAAAAAUUAUACACUUAGCACACCUAAUAAUCCAAACAGUAUCAAAUUUUGAACUAUAGAUGUUAUACCAAUUAUACAAACUAGAAAAAAUUGCUAGCCCUAAUUAUUUUAUAUAAAAUUCAAAUCACCAACACAAAUCCUAAUCUUAAACAAUAAUUGUCAAAACUUCAAAAAUCUUACCAAAACAAUCCUUAU
RNAcentral lists this long non-coding RNA (612 nucleotides) under Physcomitrium patens. Its description in RNAcentral is "long non-coding RNA (PPAT_LNC013243)". The record is from RNAcentral. Lineage: Eukaryota; Viridiplantae; Streptophyta; Bryopsida; Funariales; Funariaceae.